GAAGGGGCUGGUGGUGGACACCAUGUGAAUGACCCACCCUGAAAAUGACUUGAAAGUUACAAGGGCAGAGCUCCAGCUGACGGCAAAAAGGAGACAGGCCAACUGUAAGGUUUCCACUUUGUGACCCAGGUUUAAUCUUCUUACAGUGUGCACUGCACACACAUUCACACAUAUACAAAUACACAUGUGCACAUUCAAACACAAGCACACAAAUUCGCAUGUGCACAUACACACAUGCAAACAUAUAAACACAUAUGUACACAUGGAAACACACAAAAACACACACACACAAAUACACACCUAUGCAGACACAGGUACAUAUACAUACACAUACAUGCACACAUACACACACAAACAUACACACACAUAUACACAAACACACACAUGUACACACACAACACAGCAGUGCUUACUCAGAGGGAAUUACAGCAGAAGCAGCAGGAGGUGUUUACUUCUCACUUGAUACACAAAACCCAGGCAGAGAAAAACAUGUACUUAUUAUUAGCACAACUUAUAAAAUCUUGCUCGGGUGUGCAAAAUUAGUAAUACAAGGAAGUGGAACUAUUUUAUGGCCAGGGUUUUCUGACCACUAUGUCAAUUAAUUUAUAUAGACCCAUACAUCCUAUAUUAAGUGUAACUUUCAUUCCCUCUUUCCCGUGGUGAAUGACCCAAAACUUUUAGAAAACUCUUCAGACAAGCAAUAAAAUAAAUUCAUCGUUGUGCA
Molecule: long non-coding RNA, 724 nt
Filed under: Homo sapiens (human)
Lineage: Eukaryota; Metazoa; Chordata; Mammalia; Primates; Hominidae
Description: non-protein coding lnc-RFC3-5:1
Source: RNAcentral